RNAcentral lists this ribosomal RNA (253 nucleotides) under uncultured bacterium. Its description in RNAcentral is "partial 16S ribosomal RNA". It matches the Rfam family "Bacterial small subunit ribosomal RNA", at positions 524 to 776 of the family's 1533-position model. The record is from RNAcentral.
UACGUGGGGUGCGAGCGUUGUUCGGAAUUACUGGGCGUAAAGCGCGUGUAGGCGGCCUAUUAUGUCAGGUGUGAAAGCCCUCGGCCUAACCGAGGAAGUGCGCCUGAAACUGGUAGGCUUGAGUACGAGAGAGGAGGACGGAAUUCCCAGUGUAGAGGUGAAAUUCGUAGAUAUUGGGAGGAACACUGGCGGCGAAAGCGGUUCUCUGUAUCGGUACUGACGCUCAGUCGCGAAAACGUCGGUAGCAAACAGG